GACGAACGCUGGCGGCGUGCCUAACACAUGCAAGUCGAACGGGGUGUCGGGAGCUUGCUCCUGACACUUAGUGGCGAACGGGUGAGUAACGCGUGAGGAACCUGCCUUUCAGUGGGGGACAACAGUUGGAAACGACUGCUAAUACCGCAUAAUGUAGCGAGACCGCAUGAUCUUGCUACCAAAGCUUUAUGUACUGAGAGAUGGCCUCGCGUCUGAUUAGCUAGUUGGUGAGGUAACGGCCCACCAAGGCGACGAUCAGUAGCCGGACUGAGAGGUUGACCGGCCACAUUGGGACUGAGAUACGGCCCAGACUCCUACGGGAGGCAGCAGUGGGGAAUAUUGGGCAAUGGGCGCAAGCCUGACCCAGCAAACGCCGCGUGAAGGAAGAAAGGCUUUCGGGUUGUAAACUUCUUUUGUCAGGGAAGAGUAGAAGACUGUACCUGGCGAAUAAGCCACGGCUAACUACGUGCCAGCAGCCGCGGU
RNAcentral lists this ribosomal RNA (483 nucleotides) under uncultured bacterium. Its description in RNAcentral is "bacterial SSU rRNA". It matches the Rfam family "Bacterial small subunit ribosomal RNA", at positions 28 to 521 of the family's 1533-position model. The record is from RNAcentral.